UUUUGAGUAGCUCAGCGGCAGAGCACUAGACUGAAAAUUUACGUGUCGUUGGUUCAAACCCAACCUCAAAGG
RNAcentral lists this transfer RNA (72 nucleotides) under Haptophyceae sp. NIES-3900. Its description in RNAcentral is "tRNA-Phe". It matches the Rfam family "tRNA". From Rfam's summary of the family: Transfer RNA (tRNA) molecules are approximately 80 nucleotides in length. Their secondary structure includes four short double-helical elements and three loops (D, anti-codon, and T loops). Lineage: Eukaryota; Haptophyta. The record is from RNAcentral.